CUUGGUGGUUUGAGCGAGGCGGACCCACCCGUUCCCAUCCCGAACACGGAAGUGAAACGCUUCAGCGCCGACGAUACUAGGCCACUGCCAGGG
This 93-nucleotide ribosomal RNA is filed under the name Dehalococcoidia bacterium. Lineage: Bacteria; Bacillati; Chloroflexota; Dehalococcoidia. The record is from RNAcentral.